RNAcentral lists this ribosomal RNA (350 nucleotides) under uncultured bacterium. RNAcentral's name for it is "bacterial SSU rRNA". It matches the Rfam family "Bacterial small subunit ribosomal RNA", at positions 355 to 697 of the family's 1533-position model. The record is from RNAcentral.
UAGGGAAUCUUCCGCAAUGGACGAAAGUCUGACGGAGCAACGCCGCGUGAACGAUGAAGGCCUUCGGGUCGUAAAGUUCUGUUGUUAGGGAAGAACAAGUACCAGAGUAACUGCUGGUACCUUGACGGUACCUAACCAGAAAGCCACGGCUAACUACGUGCCAGCAGCCGCGGUAAUACGUAGGUGGCAAGCGUUGUCCGGAAUUAUUGGGCGUAAAGCGCGCGCAGGCGGUUUCUUAAGUCUGAUGUGAAAGCCCACGGCUCAACCGUGGAGGGUCAUUGGAAACUGGGGAACUUGAGUGCAGAAGAGGAGAGUGGAAUUCCACGUGUAGCGGUGAAAUGCGUAGAGAU